GAUGAACGCUGGCGGCGUGCCUAAUACAUGCCAGUCGAGCGAACAGACGAGGAGCUUGCUCCUCUGACGUUAGCGGCGGACGGGUGAGUAACACGUGGAUAACCUACCUAUAAGACUGGGCUAACUUCGGGAAACCGGAGCUAAUACCGGAUAAUAUAUUGAACCGCAUGGUUCAAUAGUGAAAGACGGUUUUGCUGUCACUUAUAGAUGGAUCCGCGCCGCAUUAGCUAGUUGGUAAGGUAACGGCUUACCAAGGCAACGAUGCGUAGCCGACCUGAGAGGGUGAUCGGCCACACUGGAACUGAGACACGGUCCAGACUCCUACGGGAGGCAGCAGUAGGGAAUCUUCCGCAAUGGGCGAAAGCCUGACGGAGCAACGCCGCGUGAGUGAUGAAGGUCUUCGGAUCGUAAAACUCUGUUAUUAGGGAAGAACAAAUGUGUAAGUAACUAUGCACGUCUUGACGGUACCUAAUCAGAAAGCCACGGCUAACUACGUG
Molecule: ribosomal RNA, 497 nt
Filed under: uncultured bacterium
Lineage: Bacteria
Description: partial 16S ribosomal RNA
Rfam family: Bacterial small subunit ribosomal RNA
Source: RNAcentral